GGUGAACGCUGGCGGCGUGCUUAAGACAUGCAAGUCGAACGGGCUCUUCGGAGCCAGUGGCGCACGGGUGAGUAACGCGUACCUGACCUACCCCAAAGUCGCGGAUAACGAUUCGAAAGAAUCGCUAAUACGUGAUGUGCUGUCAGAUCCUGUUCUGCCAGUAAAGAUUUAUUGCUUUGGGAUGGGGUUGCGUUCCAUCAGCUAGUUGGUGGGGUAAAGGCCCACUAAGGCGACGACGGAUCGCCGGCCUGAGAGGGUGGCCGGCCACAGGGGCACUGAGACACGGGUCCCACUCCUACGGGAGGCAGCAGUUAGGAAUCUUCCACAAUGGGCGAAAGCCUGAUGGAGCGACGCCGCGUGAGGGAUGAAGGUCGUCGGAUCGUAAACCUCUGAAUCAGGGACGAAAGACGCGAAAGCGGGAUGACGGUACCUGAGUAAUAGCACCGGCUAACUCCGUG
RNAcentral lists this ribosomal RNA (458 nucleotides) under uncultured bacterium. Its description in RNAcentral is "partial 16S ribosomal RNA". It matches the Rfam family "Bacterial small subunit ribosomal RNA", at positions 28 to 507 of the family's 1533-position model. The record is from RNAcentral.